UACACUCAAGGCCCGCCAGCACUGUGCUCUCAACAUUUUGCUGGCCAUCUGCCAGGUGGAAGGGGCUAAGAUGGCUGCGAGUGGCGCUGCGGCCGCGACAGGAUUUAUCUACUAUAUUGUGGAUGGAUUGGAGUCGGAGAACACUUGACAUCGAACAGACAGUCUUUAGUCAGCGUCUGAUGGAAUUGCUGACAAAUCCAAUUAGGUGGCCAUCAGUGCCACCGAAAAUGGUGAACCUCUUGGCGGUGGCUAAAUGCCUGAUUGAUCCUAUAUGUUAACAAGAUUUCGGCUGAAGAUUCCCAUGCCGUCGCCGAUGAUUUGCCUAAGUGGAUUGAACUGCGCCCGCCCUACGUAUACUUAAUUUCUUAAAAGCAGCAUAACUCACCGAAUUCAAGUAGACAUUGCCGCCAAAGGAGCUCAUGUUAAGAAUAAUGCCGUAGUAUACCAGAUUCAUGGUGAACCAGAUGCAAAAGAAGCAAAUGGAGAUGCGACGCAGGUAACUGGAGCGGAACAGGUAGGUAACGUCCUGCGUACUGCUCUCCUGCGUCGGCGGCGUCAGUUGAUAAUCGGCGGGCAGCUGGCGACCAUUGAACUUUGCGGCCGCCUCAAUAAUUCGACGCACUUCAUCGAUUCGACCCUUGACCAGCAGCCAGCGCGGCGAUUCCGGCACCACAAACCUAACGUACAGAAGCACCCAAAAUUAAUCAAAUAAAAUUUAGCGCGUGAAACAUGUGCCGCGGCAAUU
Drosophila melanogaster (fruit fly) is the source of this 745-nucleotide non-coding RNA. Lineage: Eukaryota; Metazoa; Arthropoda; Insecta; Diptera; Drosophilidae. The record is from Ensembl.